Molecule: transfer RNA, 73 nt
Filed under: Candidatus Epulonipiscium sp.
Lineage: Bacteria; Bacillati; Bacillota; Clostridia; Lachnospirales; Lachnospiraceae
Description: tRNA-Phe
Rfam family: tRNA
About the family: Transfer RNA (tRNA) molecules are approximately 80 nucleotides in length.
Source: RNAcentral
GCCCCGAUAGCUCAGUCGGUAGAGCAAAGGACUGAAAAUCCUUGUGUCGCUGGUUCGAUUCCGGCUCGGGGCA